RNAcentral lists this long non-coding RNA (1470 nucleotides) under Citrus x clementina. RNAcentral's name for it is "Citrus clementina (C. clementina) long non-coding RNA (CCLE_LNC004857)". Lineage: Eukaryota; Viridiplantae; Streptophyta; Magnoliopsida; Sapindales; Rutaceae. The record is from RNAcentral.
CCGUUUUUGUGGCCUUUUUCCGCUGGACGAACUUGGCGCCCCUGCCUUCGGCCGGUUAUUUUUGGUCGCGGCUGUGCCCGCAGCCAAAUUUUGGCACACGGAGGCGCCUCGAAAAGUCUCGCGCCAUUCCGAGUCCGGCGGACGAAGUUGGCCAGGCCCACCCCCCAAGGCUAUAGGCCACCCGUUUUUGUGGCCUUUUUCCGCUGGACGAACUUGUCGCCCCGGCCUUCGGGCGGUUAUUUUUGGGCGCGGCUUUGCCCGCGGCCUAUUUUUGGCAUACGAAGGCCCCUCGCAAAGUCUCGCUCCGUUCCGAGUCCGCCGGACGAAGUUGGCCAGCCCCACCCCCCAAGGCUAUAGCUCACCCGUUUUUGUGGCCUUUUUCCGCUGGACGAACUCGGCGUCCCGGCCUUCGGGCGGUUAUUUUUGGGCGCGGCUGUGCCCGCGGCCUAUUUUUGACACACGGAGGCGCCUCGCAAAGGCCGGGCCAUUCCCAGUCCGGCGGACGAAGUUCGCCAGCCCCACCCCCCAAGGCUAUAGCCCACCCGUUUUUGUGGGCUUUUUCCGUUGGACGAACGUGACGCCCCGGCCUUCGGGCGGUUAUUUUUGGGCGCGGCUGUGCCCGCGGCCUAUUUUUCGCACACGGAGGCGCCUCGUAAAGGCCGUGCCAUUCCGACUCCGGCGGACGAAGUGGGCUAGCCCCACCCCCCAAGGCUAUAGCCCACCCGUUUUUACUGGCUUUUUCCGCUGGACGAACGUGGCGCCCCGACCUUCGGGCGGUUAUUUUUGGGCGCGGCUGUGGCCGCUGCCUAUUUUUGGUACACGGAGGCGCCUCGCAAAGUCUCGCCCCAUUCCGAGUCCGGCGGACGAAGUUGGCCAGCCCCACCACCCAAGGAUAUAGCCCACCCGUUUUUGUGGCCUUUUUCCGUUGGACGAACUUGGCGCCCCGGCCUUCGGGCAGUUAUUUUUGGACGCGGCUGUGUCCGCGGCCUAUUUUUGGCACAUGGAGGCACCUCACAAAGUCUCGCGCCAUUCCUAGUCCGGCGGAUGAAGUUGGCCAGCCCCACCCCCCAAGGCUAUAGCCCACCCGUUUUUGUGGCCUUUUUGCGCUGGACGAACUUGGCGCCCCGGCCUUCGGGUGGUUAUUUUUGGGCGCGGCUGUGCCCGCGGCCUAUUUUUGGCACACGAAGGUGCCUCGCAAAGUCUCGUGCCAUUCCGAGUCCGGUGGACGAAGUGGGCCAGCUCCACCCCCCAAGGCUAUAGCCCACCCGUUUUUGUGGCCUUUUUCCGCUGGACGAACUUGGCGCCCUGGCCUUCGGGCGGUUAUUUUUGGCACACGGAGGCACCUCACAAAGUCUCGCACCAUUCCGAGUCCGGCGGACGAAGUUGGCCAGCCCCACCCCCCAAGGCUAUAGCCCACCCGUUUUUGUGGCCUUUUUCCGCUGUACGAACUUGGCGCCCCGGCCUUCGGGC